GAUGAACGCUAGCGGCAGGCCUAACACAUGCAAGUCGAGGGAGAGGUUACCUUCGGGUAACCAAAACCGGCGCACGGGUGCGUAACGCGUAUACAAUCUGCCUUUCACAUAGGGAUAGCCCGAAGAAAUUUGGAUUAAUACCUAAUGGUAUAUAAGAGCGGCAUCGUUUUUAUAUUAAAGCUACGGUGGUGAAAGAUGAGUAUGCGUUCUAUUAGCUAGUUGGAGAGGUAACGGCUCCCCAAGGCGACGAUAGAUAGGGGUUCUGAGAGGGAUGUCCCCCACACUGGUACUGAGAUACGGACCAGACCCCUACGGGAGGCAGCAGUGAGGAAUAUUGGACAAUGGUCGGAAGACUGAUCCAGCCAUGCCGCGUGCAGGGUGAAGGUCCUAUGGAUUGUAAACUGCUUUUGUAAGGGAAGAAUAAGGAGUACGUGUACUUUGAUGACGGUACCUUACGAAUAAGCAUCGGCUAACUCCGUG
Molecule: ribosomal RNA, 480 nt
Filed under: uncultured bacterium
Lineage: Bacteria
Description: partial 16S ribosomal RNA
Rfam family: Bacterial small subunit ribosomal RNA
Source: RNAcentral